GCGACCCCAGGAUGGGCGAGGCCACC
RNAcentral lists this ribosomal RNA (26 nucleotides) under Catasetum expansum. RNAcentral describes it as "partial 26S ribosomal RNA". Lineage: Eukaryota; Viridiplantae; Streptophyta; Magnoliopsida; Asparagales; Orchidaceae. RNAcentral also lists the same sequence under 7 other names. The record is from RNAcentral.